Molecule: ribosomal RNA, 274 nt
Filed under: uncultured bacterium
Lineage: Bacteria
Description: partial 16S ribosomal RNA
Rfam family: Bacterial small subunit ribosomal RNA
Source: RNAcentral
AUACGGAGGGUGCGAGCGUUAAUCGGAAUUACUGGGCGUAAAGCGUACGUAGGCGGUUGGUUAAGUUAGAUGUGAAAGCCCCGGGCUUAACCCGGGAACUGCAUUUAAAACUGGCGAACUAGAGUUGAGUAGAGGGGAGUGGAAUUUCAGGUGUAGCGGUGAAAUGCGUAGAGAUCUGAAGGAACACCAGUGGCGAAGGCGACUCCCUGGACUCGAACUGACGCUGAGGUACGAAAGCGUGGGUAGCAAACGGGAUUAGAAACCCCGGUAGUCC